GCAUAUCAAUAAGCGGAGGAAAAGAAACCAACAGGGAUUGCCCUAGUAACGGCGAGUGAAGCGGCAACAGCUCAAAUUUGAAAUCUGGCCCUAGCGGUCCGAGUUGUAAUUUGUAGAGGAUGCUUUUGGUUAGGUGCCUUCUGAGUUCCCUGGAACGGGACGCCAGAGAGGGUGAGAGCCCCGUACGGUUGGACACCGAGCCUCUAUAUAGCUCCUUCGACGAGUCGAGUAGUUUGGGAAUGCUGCUCUAAAUGGGAGGUAAAUUUCUUCUAAAGCUAAAUACCGGCCAGAGACCGAUAGCGCACAAGUAGAGUGAUCGAAAGAUGAAAAGUACUUUGAAAAGAGGGUUAAAUAGCACGUGAAAUUGUUGAAAGGGAAGCGUUUGCGACCAGACUUUUUCCAGGCGGAUCAUCCGGUGUUCUCACCGGUGCACUUCGCCUGGUUUAGGCCAGCAUCGGUUCUCUUAGGGGGAUAAAGGCUUGGGGAACGUAGCUCCCUCGGGAGUGUUAUAGCCCCUCGCGUAAUACCCUUCGGGGGACCGAGGAACGCGCAUCUGCAAGGAUGCUGGCGUAAUGGUCGUCAACGACCCGUCUUGAAACACGGACCAAGGAGUCGAACAUUUGUGCGAGUGUUUGGGUGUUAAACCCUCACGCGUAAUGAAAGUGAACGGAGGUGAGAGCCCUUCGGGGUGCAUCAUCGACCGAUCCUGAUGUCUUCGGAUGGAUUUGAGUAAGAGCAUAACUGUUCGGACCCGAAAGAUGGUGAACUAUGCGUGGAUAGGGUGAAGCCAGAGGAAACUCUGGUGGAGGCUCGCAGCGGUUCUGACGUGCAAAUCGAUCGUCAAAUCUGCGCAUGGGGGCGAAAGACUUAUCGAACCAUCUAGUAGCUGGUUACCGCCGA
RNAcentral lists this ribosomal RNA (900 nucleotides) under Daldinia loculatoides. RNAcentral's name for it is "LSU rRNA". It matches the Rfam family "Eukaryotic large subunit ribosomal RNA", at positions 38 to 964 of the family's 3401-position model. Lineage: Eukaryota; Fungi; Ascomycota; Sordariomycetes; Xylariales; Hypoxylaceae. The record is from RNAcentral.